RNAcentral lists this ribosomal RNA (465 nucleotides) under uncultured bacterium. Its description in RNAcentral is "partial 16S ribosomal RNA". It matches the Rfam family "Bacterial small subunit ribosomal RNA", at positions 28 to 507 of the family's 1533-position model. The record is from RNAcentral.
GACGAACGCUGGCGGCGUGCUUAACACAUGCAAGUCGAACGGUAAGGCUCCAGCUUGCUGGGGUACACGAGUGGCGAACGGGUGAGUAACACGUGGGUGACCUGCCCUGCACUUCGGGAUAAGCCUGGGAAACUGGGUCUAAUACCGGAUAGGACCGCACCGUGAGGGUGUGCUGGAAAGUUUUUUCGGUGUGGGAUGGGCCCGCGGCCUAUCAGCUUGUUGGUGGGGUAAUGGCCUACCAAGGCGGCGACGGGUAGCCGGCCUGAGAGGGUGGACGGCCACAUUGGGACUGAGACACGGCCCAGACUCCUACGGGAGGCAGCAGUGGGGAAUAUUGCACAAUGGGCGGAAGCCUGAUGCAGCGACGCCGCGUGGGGGAUGACGGCCUUCGGGUUGUAAACUCCUUUCACCAUCGACGAAGGGUUUCUGACGGUAGAUGGAGAAGAAGCACCGGCUAACUACGUG